Molecule: unclassified non-coding RNA, 184 nt
Filed under: rhizosphere metagenome
Description: partial ribosomal RNA internal transcribed spacer region
Source: RNAcentral
GAGAAUCUCGCCCGCGAGGGUGACUCUCCAACCCUAUGUUAAUCUACCUUUGUUGCUUUGGCGAGCCGCCUCGGCCACCGGCUCACGCUGGUGAGUGCUCGCCAGGGGACCUCAACACUGUUUAUCACUAUCGUCUGAGUACUAUAUAAUAGUUAAAACUUUCAACAACGGAUCUCUUGGUUCU